RNAcentral lists this long non-coding RNA (227 nucleotides) under Coffea arabica (coffee). RNAcentral's name for it is "long non-coding RNA (CARA_LNC001311)". The record is from RNAcentral. Lineage: Eukaryota; Viridiplantae; Streptophyta; Magnoliopsida; Gentianales; Rubiaceae.
GACCCUUUGCCUCUCUCGCUCACGAAUGUAUGAUUGGUUGAUUGGAUGUAUGUUUACUUGUUUAUCUCGCUCUUGCAUUGCAUUUGGGUGGGGGACAUCACCUUAGAGUCUCGCGUUGGUUCUCGAUCCCUCCCCUCCAAACGAGCACUAGCAUACGUGCAUUCGCUUUAAUAUUUAUCCCUCUUUUAUUUUUUCUUUUAGUGGCUUGUCACGCCACUCCACCCUAU